RNAcentral lists this unclassified non-coding RNA (307 nucleotides) under Hevea brasiliensis (rubber tree). The record is from RNAcentral. Lineage: Eukaryota; Viridiplantae; Streptophyta; Magnoliopsida; Malpighiales; Euphorbiaceae.
AUAGAAUCUAGUCCCCAUAUUAUCAAGACAAAUCUGAUAGAAACUAAGAAAAACGCUAAUCCUAAAUCCCAAAGAACCACCCAGAAUGGCCUCUUGAAACUCAAGUAAAUGAUAAGCCUUUUACAUUUGAAAUCUGAUCUUCAAUUCAUACUGCAUUAGCCCUUGGCUAAUAUCCUUAAAGCUACAAGGCAAGAAUGGCACAGGUGGAUUAUACCAUCAACUCAUCUACAAACAAAAACCAAUUCCUUUAACACAGGCUCCUUCAAAAGUGUCACUGCAAUACCUGGACUAUGAAGGGUAUCCUCAA